Molecule: small nuclear RNA, 119 nt
Filed under: Helianthus annuus (common sunflower)
Lineage: Eukaryota; Viridiplantae; Streptophyta; Magnoliopsida; Asterales; Asteraceae
Description: U5 spliceosomal RNA
Rfam family: U5 spliceosomal RNA
About the family: U5 RNA is a component of both types of known spliceosome. The precise function of this molecule is unknown, though it is known that the 5' loop is required for splice site selection and p220 binding, and that both the 3' stem-loop and the Sm site are important for Sm protein binding and cap methylation.
Source: RNAcentral
AGCCAUGCAGUGAGCACAGAGCGAACUAUUCUUUCGCCUUUUACUAAAGAAUACCGUGUGCUCGCUGCUCGAAGUGGCAUACGCCUAUUUUUGGAGAGUCCCUUUUUUUAUUGAAGGGC